GCCAGGCAUGGUGGUGCAUACCUGUGGUCCCAGCUACUCGGGAGGCUGAGGCAGGAGAAUUUCUUGAGCCCAGGAGAUCAAGGCUGCAGUGAGCCAUGAUCGCACCACUGCACUCCAGCCUGGACAACAAAGCGAGACCCUGUCUCAA
Molecule: unclassified non-coding RNA, 148 nt
Organism: Papio anubis (olive baboon)
Lineage: Eukaryota; Metazoa; Chordata; Mammalia; Primates; Cercopithecidae
Rfam family: Metazoan signal recognition particle RNA
About the family: The signal recognition particle (SRP) is a universally conserved ribonucleoprotein. It is involved in the co-translational targeting of proteins to membranes. The eukaryotic SRP consists of a 300-nucleotide 7S RNA and six proteins: SRPs 72, 68, 54, 19, 14, and 9.
Source: Ensembl